RNAcentral lists this ribosomal RNA (253 nucleotides) under uncultured bacterium. RNAcentral's name for it is "partial 16S ribosomal RNA". It matches the Rfam family "Bacterial small subunit ribosomal RNA", at positions 524 to 776 of the family's 1533-position model. The record is from RNAcentral.
UACAUGGGGUGCAAACGUUGCUCGGAAUUAUUGGGCGUAAAGCGCACGUAGGUGGUCUGUUAUGUCAGAUGUGAAAGCCCUCGGCUUAACUGAGGAAGUGCACCUGAAACUGGCAGGCUUGAGUACGAAAGAGGGUCGCGGAAUUCCCGGUGUAGAGGUGAAAUUCGUAGAUAUCGGGAGGAACACCAGUGGCGAAGGCGGCGAUCUGGGUCGAUACUGACGCUGAGGUGCGAAAGCGUGGGGAGCAAACAGG